RNAcentral lists this ribosomal RNA (1528 nucleotides) under Klebsiella pneumoniae. RNAcentral describes it as "bacterial SSU rRNA". It matches the Rfam family "Bacterial small subunit ribosomal RNA". The record is from RNAcentral. RNAcentral also lists the same sequence under 1 other name. Lineage: Bacteria; Pseudomonadati; Pseudomonadota; Gammaproteobacteria; Enterobacterales; Enterobacteriaceae.
AGAGUUUGAUCAUGGCUCAGAUUGAACGCUGGCGGCAGGCCUAACACAUGCAAGUCGAGCGGUAGCACAGAGAGCUUGCUCUCGGGUGACGAGCGGCGGACGGGUGAGUAAUGUCUGGGAAACUGCCUGAUGGAGGGGGAUAACUACUGGAAACGGUAGCUAAUACCGCAUAACGUCGCAAGACCAAAGUGGGGGACCUUCGGGCCUCAUGCCAUCAGAUGUGCCCAGAUGGGAUUAGCUAGUAGGUGGGGUAACGGCUCACCUAGGCGACGAUCCCUAGCUGGUCUGAGAGGAUGACCAGCCACACUGGAACUGAGACACGGUCCAGACUCCUACGGGAGGCAGCAGUGGGGAAUAUUGCACAAUGGGCGCAAGCCUGAUGCAGCCAUGCCGCGUGUGUGAAGAAGGCCUUCGGGUUGUAAAGCACUUUCAGCGGGGAGGAAGGCGGUAAGGUUAAUAACCUUGUCGAUUGACGUUACCCGCAGAAGAAGCACCGGCUAACUCCGUGCCAGCAGCCGCGGUAAUACGGAGGGUGCAAGCGUUAAUCGGAAUUACUGGGCGUAAAGCGCACGCAGGCGGUCUGUCAAGUCGGAUGUGAAAUCCCCGGGCUCAACCUGGGAACUGCAUUCGAAACUGGCAGGCUAGAGUCUUGUAGAGGGGGGUAGAAUUCCAGGUGUAGCGGUGAAAUGCGUAGAGAUCUGGAGGAAUACCGGUGGCGAAGGCGGCCCCCUGGACAAAGACUGACGCUCAGGUGCGAAAGCGUGGGGAGCAAACAGGAUUAGAUACCCUGGUAGUCCACGCCGUAAACGAUGUCGAUUUGGAGGUUGUGCCCUUGAGGCGUGGCUUCCGGAGCUAACGCGUUAAAUCGACCGCCUGGGGAGUACGGCCGCAAGGUUAAAACUCAAAUGAAUUGACGGGGGCCCGCACAAGCGGUGGAGCAUGUGGUUUAAUUCGAUGCAACGCGAAGAACCUUACCUGGUCUUGACAUCCACAGAACUUUCCAGAGAUGGAUUGGUGCCUUCGGGAACUGUGAGACAGGUGCUGCAUGGCUGUCGUCAGCUCGUGUUGUGAAAUGUUGGGUUAAGUCCCGCAACGAGCGCAACCCUUAUCCUUUGUUGCCAGCGGUCCGGCCGGGAACUCAAAGGAGACUGCCAGUGAUAAACUGGAGGAAGGUGGGGAUGACGUCAAGUCAUCAUGGCCCUUACGACCAGGGCUACACACGUGCUACAAUGGCAUAUACAAAGAGAAGCGACCUCGCGAGAGCAAGCGGACCUCAUAAAGUAUGUCGUAGUCCGGAUUGGAGUCUGCAACUCGACUCCAUGAAGUCGGAAUCGCUAGUAAUCGUAGAUCAGAAUGCUACGGUGAAUACGUUCCCGGGCCUUGUACACACCGCCCGUCACACCAUGGGAGUGGGUUGCAAAAGAAGUAGGUAGCUUAACCUUCGGGAGGGCGCUUACCACUUUGUGAUUCAUGACUGGGGUGAAGUCGUAACAAGGUAACCGUAGGGGAACCUGCGGUUGGAUCACCU